This 2929-nucleotide ribosomal RNA is filed under the name Citrobacter freundii. Its description in RNAcentral is "bacterial LSU rRNA". It matches the Rfam family "Bacterial large subunit ribosomal RNA". The record is from RNAcentral. Lineage: Bacteria; Pseudomonadati; Pseudomonadota; Gammaproteobacteria; Enterobacterales; Enterobacteriaceae. RNAcentral also lists the same sequence under 2 other names.
GGGUUGUGAGGUUAAGCGACUAAGCGUACACGGUGGAUGCCCUGGCAGUCAGAGGCGAUGAAGGACGUGCUAAUCUGCGAUAAGCGUCGGUAAGGUGAUAUGAACCGUUAUAACCGGCGAUUUCCGAAUGGGGAAACCCAGUGUGAUUCGUCACACUAUCAUUACGUGAAUACAUAGCGUAAUGAAGCGAACCGGGGGAACUGAAACAUCUAAGUACCCCGAGGAAAAGAAAUCAACCGAGAUUCCCCCAGUAGCGGCGAGCGAACGGGGAGCAGCCCAGAGUCUGAAUCAGCUUGUGUGUUAGUGGAACGGUCUGGAAAGUCCGACGGUACAGGGUGAUAGUCCCGUACACCAAAAUGCACAGGUUGUGAACUCGAAGAGUAGGGCGGGACACGUGGUAUCCUGUCUGAAUAUGGGGGGACCAUCCUCCAAGGCUAAAUACUCCUGACUGACCGAUAGUGAACCAGUACCGUGAGGGAAAGGCGAAAAGAACCCCGGCGAGGGGAGUGAAAAAGAACCUGAAACCGUGUACGUACAAGCAGUGGGAGCAUCCUUUUGGGUGUGACUGCGUACCUUUUGUAUAAUGGGUCAGCGACUUAUAUUCUGUAGCAAGGUUAACCGUAUAGGGGAGCCGAAGGGAAACCGAGUCUUAACUGGGCGUUAAGUUGCAGGGUAUAGACCCGAAACCCGGUGAUCUAGCCAUGGGCAGGUUGAAGGUUGGGUAACACUAACUGGAGGACCGAACCGACUAAUGUUGAAAAAUUAGCGGAUGACUUGUGGCUGGGGGUGAAAGGCCAAUCAAACCGGGAGAUAGCUGGUUCUCCCCGAAAGCUAUUUAGGUAGCGCCUCGUGAAUUCAUCUUCGGGGGUAGAGCACUGUUUCGGCUAGGGGGUCAUCCCGACUUACCAACCCGAUGCAAACUGCGAAUACCGAAGAAUGUUAUCACGGGAGACACACGGCGGGUGCUAACGUCCGUCGUGAAGAGGGAAACAACCCAGACCGCCAGCUAAGGUCCCAAAGUCAUGGUUAAGUGGGAAACGAUGUGGGAAGGCACAGACAGCCAGGAUGUUGGCUUAGAAGCAGCCAUCAUUUAAAGAAAGCGUAAUAGCUCACUGGUCGAGUCGGCCUGCGCGGAAGAUGUAACGGGGCUAAACCAUGCACCGAAGCUGCGGCAGCGACACUAUGUGUUGUUGGGUAGGGGAGCGUUCUGUAAGCCGUUGAAGGUGUGCUGUGAGGCAUGCUGGAGGUAUCAGAAGUGCGAAUGCUGACAUAAGUAACGAUAAUGCGGGUGAAAAACCCGCACGCCGGAAGACCAAGGGUUCCUGUCCAACGUUAAUCGGGGCAGGGUGAGUCGACCCCUAAGGCGAGGCCGAAAGGCGUAGUCGAUGGGAAACAGGUUAAUAUUCCUGUACUUGGUGUUACUGCGAAGGGGGGACGGAGAAGGCUAUGUUAGCCGGGCGACGGUUGUCCCGGUUUAAGCAUGUAGGCGGAGGUUCCAGGUAAAUCCGGUACCUUUUUAACGCUGAGGUGUGAUGACGAGGCACUACGGUGCUGAAGUAACAAAUGCCCUGCUUCCAGGAAAAGCCUCUAAGCAUCAGGUAACACGAAAUCGUACCCCAAACCGACACAGGUGGUCAGGUAGAGAAUACCAAGGCGCUUGAGAGAACUCGGGUGAAGGAACUAGGCAAAAUGGUGCCGUAACUUCGGGAGAAGGCACGCUGAUAUGUAGGUGAAGUGAUUUACUCAUGGAGCUGAAAUCAGUCGAAGAUACCAGCUGGCUGCAACUGUUUAUUAAAAACACAGCACUGUGCAAACACGAAAGUGGACGUAUACGGUGUGACGCCUGCCCGGUGCCGGAAGGUUAAUUGAUGGGGUUAUCCGUAAGGAGAAGCUCUUGAUCGAAGCCCCGGUAAACGGCGGCCGUAACUAUAACGGUCCUAAGGUAGCGAAAUUCCUUGUCGGGUAAGUUCCGACCUGCACGAAUGGCGUAAUGAUGGCCAGGCUGUCUCCACCCGAGACUCAGUGAAAUUGAACUCGCUGUGAAGAUGCAGUGUACCCGCGGCAAGACGGAAAGACCCCGUGAACCUUUACUAUAGCUUGACACUGAACACUGGUCCUUGAUGUGUAGGAUAGGUGGGAGGCUUUGAAGUGUGGACGCCAGUCUGCAUGGAGCCAUCCUUGAAAUACCACCCUUUAAUGGCUGGUGUUCUAACGUGGACCCGUAAUCCGGGUUGCGGACAGUGUCUGGUGGGUAGUUUGACUGGGGCGGUCUCCUCCUAAAGAGUAACGGAGGAGCACGAAGGUUAGCUAAUCCUGGUCGGACAUCAGGAGGUUAGUGCAAAGGCAUAAGCUAGCUUGACUGCGAGAGUGACGGCUCGAGCAGGUGCGAAAGCAGGUCUUAGUGAUCCGGUGGUUCUGAAUGGAAGGGCCAUCGCUCAACGGAUAAAAGGUACUCCGGGGAUAACAGGCUGAUACCGCCCAAGAGUUCAUAUCGACGGCGGUGUUUGGCACCUCGAUGUCGGCUCAUCACAUCCUGGGGCUGAAGUAGGUCCCAAGGGUAUGGCUGUUCGCCAUUUAAAGUGGUACGCGAGCUGGGUUUAGAACGUCGUGAGACAGUUCGGUCCCUAUCUGCCGUGGGCGCUGGAGAAUUGAGGGGGGCUGCUCCUAGUACGAGAGGACCGGAGUGGACGCAUCACUGGUGUUCGGGUUGUCAUGCCAAUGGCAUUGCCCGGUAGCUAAAUGCGGAAGAGAUAAGUGCUGAAAGCAUCUAAGCACGAAACUUGCCCCGAGAUGAGUUCUCCCUGAGACUUUAAGUCUCCUGAAGGAACGUUGAAGACGACGACGUUGAUAGGUCGGGUGUGUAAGCGUAGCGAUACGUUGAGCUAACCGAUACUAAUGAACCGUGAGGCUUAACCUUACAACGCCGAAG